Molecule: long non-coding RNA, 600 nt
Organism: Strongylocentrotus purpuratus (purple sea urchin)
Lineage: Eukaryota; Metazoa; Echinodermata; Echinoidea; Camarodonta; Strongylocentrotidae
Exons: 4
Source: RefSeq, a predicted model, not a curated record
CAUAACGCUCGGGACAUAGUCUGGAUAGUCAUCUCCGCCUUUUCAAAACUAAUUCACUGGACUAACCAGGAGUUUAAUUGAUAUCAUUGUUCCAUACUGGUACUAUCUACAAAACAGGCUGUAAAGGAUUUAGCAGACUUGGGACUCGCUCACUGUGGAAUCAUAUCUCUAGAACUCGUAGCAGAUGACUUUGCACUGGAGUUUAUGACAAUGGCAUCUUCAAAGGACAAAGUUAAAAGGAAUAACAUAGCGAUGGGGAACUUAAAACUACAUCGAGCAACUGCAGUAUGCAUUAUAGUGACUCUGCUUUUACUGGAACAGAUUUGUACAGCUACUAGUUACCAAAAGGCAGAUUUUACGUUUCAGAAAAGUUGGAGUGUGGCAGAUGUGCCAAAUAGUAAAUUUUAUCCUCGUAUUGGGGACCCGGCCACAUCAUCUUUCUAUAGGAUACUAGAGUUCCAUGAUAACCUUGGAGACGAUAGUCACAUGUUUGUCGGCGGUAAAAAUUCACUGACGGAACUGCGCCUUGACGAUCUUUCAUUCAUGAGAGAAAUAGAUGUUCCUAAAUAUCCUACAGCUUUCACAUGUGAACAGAUACAG